RNAcentral lists this transfer RNA (73 nucleotides) under Stegodyphus mimosarum. It matches the Rfam family "tRNA". Rfam says of the family: Transfer RNA (tRNA) molecules are approximately 80 nucleotides in length. Their secondary structure includes four short double-helical elements and three loops (D, anti-codon, and T loops). Further hydrogen bonds mediate the characteristic L-shaped molecular structure. tRNAs have two regions of fundamental functional importance: the anti-codon, which is responsible for specific mRNA codon recognition, and the 3' end, to which the tRNAs corresponding amino acid is attached (by aminoacyl-tRNA synthetases). tRNAs cope with the degeneracy of the genetic code in two manners: having more than one tRNA (with a specific anti-codon) for a particular amino acid; and 'wobble' base-pairing, i.e. permitting non-standard base-pairing at the 3rd anti-codon position. The record is from Rfam by way of RNAcentral. Lineage: Eukaryota; Metazoa; Arthropoda; Arachnida; Araneae; Eresidae.
GCCUUCGUAGAGUAGUAUCCAGCGCGCUGGGUGCGUAUUCCAGAGGUCCGUGGUUCGAAUCCCGGCGAAGGCG